Molecule: ribosomal RNA, 425 nt
Filed under: uncultured bacterium
Lineage: Bacteria
Description: partial 16S ribosomal RNA
Rfam family: Bacterial small subunit ribosomal RNA
Source: RNAcentral
GUGGGGAAUCUUGCGCAAUGGGCGAAAGCCUGACGCAGCCAUGCCGCGUGAAUGAUGAAGGUCUUAGGAUUGUAAAAUUCUUUCACCGGGGACGAUAAUGACGGUACCCGGAGAAGAAGCUCCGGCUAACUUCGUGCCAGCAGCCGCGGUAAUACGAAGGGGGCUAGCGUUGCUCGGAAUUACUGGGCGUAAAGGGCGCGUAGGCGGACAGCUUAGUCAGAGGUGAAAGCCCAGGGCUCAACCUUGGAAUUGCCUUUGAUACUGGCUGUCUUGAGUUUGGGAGAGUUGAGUGGAACUCCGAGUGUAGAGGUGAAAUUCGUAGAUAUUCGGAAGAACACCAGUGGCGAAGGCGACUCACUGGCCCGUUACUGACGCUGAGGCGCGAAAGCGUGGGGAGCAAACAGGAUUAGAAACCCGGGUAGUCC